This 241-nucleotide unclassified non-coding RNA is filed under the name Cenococcum sp. Its description in RNAcentral is "partial contains 5.8S ribosomal RNA, internal transcribed spacer 2, and large subunit ribosomal RNA". The stretch from base 1 to 52 matches the Rfam family "5.8S ribosomal RNA", at positions 103 to 154 of the family's 154-position model. RNAcentral also lists the same sequence under 2 other names. Lineage: Eukaryota; Fungi; Ascomycota; Dothideomycetes; Gloniales; Gloniaceae. The record is from RNAcentral.
AACGCACAUUGCGCCCCUUGGUAUCCCGAGGGGCAUGCCUGUUCGAGCGUCAUUUCACCACUCAAGCCUGGCUUGGUGUUGGGCGACGUCCCCUUUAGGGACGCGCCUCGAAACACUCGGCGGCGUGGCACCGGCUUUAAGCGUAGCAGAAUCUUUCGCUUUGAAAGUCGGGGCCCCGUCUGCCGGAAGACCUACUCACAAGGUUGACCUCGGAUCAGGUAGGGAUACCCGCUGAACUUAA